ACAUGCCUACAAGAUAGCGUUAAUGCACCGGAUCCCAUUAGAACUCCGCAGUUAAGCGUGCUCGGGAUAGAGUAGUAUUGGGAUGAGUGACCACCCAUGAAGUCCUAGUAUUUUACAUGCC
This is a non-coding RNA of Picea glauca (white spruce), 121 nucleotides long. NCBI's taxonomy places the organism in Eukaryota, Viridiplantae, Streptophyta, Pinopsida, Pinales, Pinaceae. The record is from Rfam.